CAGUAGCCGCGGUAAAACGGAGGGGGCUAGCGUUGUUCGGAAUUACUGGGCGUAAAGCGCGCGUAGGCGGUUACUCAAGUCAGAGGUGAAAGCCCGGGGCUCAACCCCGGAACUGCCUUUGAAACUAGGUGACUAGAAUCUUGGAGAGGUCAGUGGAAUUCCGAGUGUAGAGGUGAAAUUCGUAGAUAUUCGGAAGAACACCAGUGGCGAAGGCGACUGACUGGACAAGUAUUGACGCUGAGGCACGAAAGCGUGGGGAGCAAACAGGAUUAGAUACCCCAGUAGUCCCUGUCUCUUAUAC
RNAcentral lists this ribosomal RNA (301 nucleotides) under uncultured bacterium. RNAcentral's name for it is "partial 16S ribosomal RNA". It matches the Rfam family "Bacterial small subunit ribosomal RNA", at positions 509 to 807 of the family's 1533-position model. The record is from RNAcentral.